RNAcentral lists this ribosomal RNA (320 nucleotides) under uncultured eukaryote. RNAcentral describes it as "partial 18S ribosomal RNA". It matches the Rfam family "Eukaryotic small subunit ribosomal RNA", at positions 1470 to 1796 of the family's 1831-position model. The record is from RNAcentral.
CCCUUAGAUGUUCUGGGCCGCACGCGCGCUACACUGAUGCGUUCAUCAAGUCCUUCCUCGACCGAGAGGUCUGGGUAAUCUUUUGAAAGCGCAUCGUGAUGGGGAUAGAUUAUUGCAAUUAUUAAUCUUCAACGAGGAAUUCCUAGUAAACGCAAGUCAUCAGCUUGCAUUGAUUACGUCCCUGCCCUUUGUACACACCGCCCGUCGCUACUACCGAUUGAAUGUCUUAGUGAGGCUCCUGGAUCGCGGAAGCUCCUUCGGGUUGCGUUCGCGAGAAGGGAGUCAAACUUGAACAUUUAGAGGAAGUAAAAGUCGUAACA